UACGUAGGGUGCGAGCGUUAAUCGGAAUUACUGGGCGUAAAGCGUGCGCAGGCGGUUCGACAAGUCCGAUGUGAAAGCCCCGGGCCCAACCUGGGAAUGGCAUUGGAAACUGGCGGGCUGGAGUGUGGCAGAGGGGGGUGGAAUUCCAUGUGUAGCAGUGAAAUGCGUAGAGAUGUGGAAGAACACCGAUGGCGAAGGCAGCUCCCUGGAUUAACACUGACGCUCAUGCACGAAAGCGUGGGGAGCAAACAGG
Molecule: ribosomal RNA, 253 nt
Filed under: uncultured bacterium
Lineage: Bacteria
Description: partial 16S ribosomal RNA
Rfam family: Bacterial small subunit ribosomal RNA
Source: RNAcentral